ACCUACAGGCUUGAGUGAAGUGAAGAAUUAAGGCUAUUAUCUGUAUAAUUCAAACCCAAACCUACCUUUCUGUGAAUUUAUAGGACAAUUUAGGUCCUAGCUGAAUAAUUCAGAAAAAGAUAAUCACCUCAAUUAUUUAGAUGGCCAUCUCAUCCCCUUAUAUAUUCCAUCUCUCUAACUCUGAGGUGGAAAGUUGACAGCAAUUAAAUCUCUCAACCGCACUGCCCAUAGGAGGCCACUGAAUUUGGACCAAUGUGGUGCCCCAAACGGGAAGAGUGGGAACAGACCCAGAUAAGCCAAUGCAUAUGGAAGACAUUUGUCCUAAAUCAAGGUAAGAGGUGCUCACCCAUCUGACCAAGGUUCCAAACUAUAGACUCAAGAAAAGGCUUGGAAGUUAUCAUCCCAAGCCAGUUUGCUCUAGACCCUGUGAGCUUGUCACUGAUUGGGUACAGGAGGACUCAGCACCCUUCUCGGGCAGUGUCCCUCCUCGCCCAUCAAUUCUGGUCCUGCUGAGUUUGCAGAAGAACCUCAUUUCCUGGCCCUGUCCGAGUGGAGGGCAGGGCGUGGGAAGUUGUGCAUCUGAGACAGGUCAGCCAGCCGCAUGGGGAAUGGCACCACUUACAUUUACAUGGGGCUGAUGGAGAGCCUGUGAGAAGAUACCUGAUGAGGUCAGCAGGGCUCAAGAGGAAAGUGGUCCCUUUCCAGGAUGACUCUGGGACAAUGGGGAGGCCCUACUGGCUGGCCUGGCUUUGGCUGUUUCUGUCUGGGUGGCACCUCUAGGUCCCCGCAAGUCUCUGCAUGUUCGUGUGCACGUGGCUUUCUGUGUACAGACGCAGGGUGCCAGCCUGUCCAGGCUGGUGGGUUCAGCUUUCCUUUGUGCUAACAUUAAUCUGCCUGGCCCCAUCCCCCAGCCUCUCGCUGCACAUUAACCUAAAAUAUGAGCGCAUGCUCGGGUCUUGCCUGUGUUGGCCGCCCCCGAGCCCACAGCAUCCCUGCCCCCUCCUCCAGCCCUCUUAUCUAAAGCAGCGUGUCACUGCAAUUUUAUGGUCAACAUUACAGACUCAAGCCCUCCUUUGAACCAAUCAAACUGCACUGAAUAUGUUAAGGGAAUCCAGGCUUUCUGGAAGGAGCCUGCGUCCUGAGCCGCACUGCCUGACCUCUCUAAGAGCAGCCCCCAUAAAUCUGCCUCACGUGAUGGGAGAUGGGCUUUUCAGGAUCUCUCAGGGUGCUUUGAGGUAGCACUUCUAUGAACUCCUUGCCACAAUAAAUAAUGCUACCUGCAAUAUGUCUUUGCGAGUGUGUCAGCAGCUGCUGUCCUGCCAUGAAUUUUUAUUCUUGUGCCGUCUGGAAGAUAGAUUCCAGAUUCAGCAUUUCCCCGCACUUAGUGUCAGAUCUCUUUACCCCCUUGCCCCAGCAGAAUGACAGAGACCACAAAUAAAAUAAAAAAAAUUAAAAAAACAGCCUAGAAAAAAAUGGCCCAAGACCAGAGGGAAACAACCACGCUCACCUCACUACAGGAGAGAGAGCCUCCUGUGUGAUGGCAAUGACUAGGUGGGAGGAAGGAUGAAAAGCCAGGCAAUUCAGAGUCCUCAGAAAGUAAGCAAUUCACCUGGGCUGGCUGGAGAAAGGGGGUUUCUACCAGGUAAAGCUGUUGGAUGAGAGGAAAGCCCAUUUUGAGUCAAUAAACCAUUAUAAAGGAAAGCAAUAGAAAUCUGUUUUCAAACCUCAGUUAGAUAGUUAUUGCACUGGUCGGAUGCUAGGCAAUUGGUCCAUGAAAAGAGGGCAAUGGAUUCCGAAAUAGCGUGGUGAUUGGUGAUGACAUCCAAGAUAAGUUGCUGUGGUCUGAGAGCUAAAGAGGAGGAAGGAAGCUACUACCAUAGCUUCAGAACAGCAAUAAGUGGAUUCCCAAAUUUCACAGACACGCGUGUCUCUGCCGAUCUAGACACAAGUGUCCGCACAGCUGGGUAUGUUUUACUAGUCGUCAUUGCUGCAACUUCAGAUCUUCUGAAGCUAAAACUCAGCACCGUGAUGCCAAGGCAUUUCCCCUUCUUUGAAAUGUUCCAAGUCCCAGGAAACUUCUGCAUGACUGAUGUGCCAGCCAUAUCCAUUACGGUGGGAGACAGCACAGGGAAGGAAGAAAGAAAAUAUGGCUUUGAUAUGUUAACAUCGCACAAAGGCAGAUUAUUUCAUUUUCCAUGCUGCUUCCUCUUCAGAGAGGGUCAUAUUCAGUGGUGUCCUGGCAGGAAUCACACAGAUGAAGCUCCUGUGUAUACACAAUCCCAGUCUCAUAACUGAACCCACAAUGUCGGCCGACUUCCAGAUCAGCGUUUUGCCAAAUGUGAAGUGUGUAGGCAUCACCUGGGGAUCUUAAAACACAGACUGUGGUCCAGCAAGUUUUGGGCUGGGGGCUGAGAGUCUGCAUUUCUAACAAGCUCCCAGGUGCUGCUGACACUGUUGGGCCAUCUGCUGGAGAACAAGGCUUUUGGUUAUCGCAGGUUCCUAUGUGCCCAGUACUGCUCUUCUUCCCUGGACUGUCUUUGUGGGCUCCAAAUCCAGGAGAGAGUGCUCUGUUCCUUUCUUCAUAUAUGUUGCUCUUGGUUCUUCAUAUAUAUAUAUAUAUAUAUUAUUUUUUAAAAAACUCAUAAUGUAAGAUCUGGGCCAACGAAGCUUCUGGGUUUAGCAGUGAUGAGCUUGCUAGGCUCCACACAAGGGAACCUCUUGGUUUAUGCAGAAUGUCAGCCUUAAUUGGUGGCCUCCUAGUGUCCUGCCCUGUGUCAAUGCCGCAUUAUCUCUAGCCUCCCAGGGCCAUGGGUCAGUUUCAUAGUAUGGUGGGUCCUGAGAGAAGGGUAUGGAGUUAGGUGGGGACUACAAGGAAAUCUCUGCUGAUCAAGUGGCCAACAACCAACUGGGAUGUGGGACCAUGGGCUCCCUUGACACACUCUGGUUCCUCUCUAAGACAACAAGGACAGCAAGAUUACAAAACUGCCAACCUAGAAUGGAGGAUGUGGUCAGCAACGUCCUUGCCAAAUGCACUUUUGAUGGAAAAUUAAAGUUUCUUGGGGUGAAUAUAGUCUUUGAAGUAAUAAGUAUGGAAGCUUCUCUGACAUCCCACCAUGCUCAAAUAAAGUGGCUGAGUGUAAGCAAUUCCUGCCUGUCAAAUCAUCUGAGGCCAAGCAUGAUCACUCAUUUGUAAACUGGGCUUUCUGCCUGCUGAAUACCUUUUAAAAACAGAAGCUCUCUCCUAAUUGCCUGGGUUGACCUAUAUUUAGAAACCUGAAGCAUGCUGGUGUCAUGGAGAAGCCAGAAAAACAUUGGAGUUAAUCACUAAAUCAAUCUGGGCUGACCCUGAGAGGAGCACCAAAGGUUGUUGGUCAAGGAGCUUUCGGAGGCUGGACUUAAAAGAACUCUCUUGUUUCUCUGAAACUUGGAAAAGCUGUUUCUUUCUGCAAAGACAUAUGCUCAGAAUAGAAUCUGGUCUGCUCUAGGACAGCCCUUUGAAUCUCAUGCCAGUAACCAGCUCAAGAGUAACUUCACUGGGUUUGGGGGUCCUCUCUGGGCUCCUCUCUGACCUCCAAGGUGGAGAUGGAAUCACUGGAACAGAUGGAAUCACUGGAACAAUAUGCUCAUGGCCAAGAGAAACAAGCCAUGAGAUCCUUUUCUUCCCUUCUCGUCUCGGCCAGCUCUCCUCCUCUUAGGGCAUCUUUCUGGUUUCUUAUUGUUCUGGUUUGUCAAAAUUCACAGUUUAGAUGGUUCCUUCAAUGAUUUUACUCCUAAUGCAGUGAUGAUCAUUUUUUAAAAGUUCACAGAAUUUGAAAAAAAUUGGGGACACGACAAGAAUUAUGACACAUUAUUUUUAGUUCACGUGAACAGUGAGGUGUCAUUUGGAUAUGGGUACAAGGUACGUAGAAAGUCAGUAAUUACCUCCAUGGAACACUGAACAGAAAAUUUAGGAAUCUCCUCGAUUCUGUAGAGCUGGUAUCCAUCCUCAAAUUUGCUGGCUCUUAUUUUUGCUAGAUGGUGGCUUGAUUUUGAUGCUGAAGGAUAUCAACACUGAAGGCAGGAGGGAGUAGAACCUAGGACCUUGAACCAUUUCCAGAUAAUUACUGAUCAUCUGAGUCCUGCAGAAAAUACUCGUUAGAUAGACGGGUGAUGGAAAAACAUGGUAUAUUUUUUGAGAUUUAGGUUUGGAUAUCUAGCUAGUUAAUGCUAAGGUUAAAUUAAGAUAUCUGAAUGACAUACAAAUAUAUUUUUAAUUCUUGCAUCGAAUUUUGGAGAGCUAGAGAUGUUAAGUAACGUUGGAACAGAAUAAAUUAUACAUUUAUCAUCAGCUAUUUAUGGACUAUUUAAGACUCAUUUUUGAGGAGAUAAACAUGUAUAAGACAUCUUUACCUUCAGGAAAUUUAUAUUCUAAUUGUUGGAAUGAGACUAAGUCACUAAAACAAUUAGAAGUACAUACAUAUAUAAAUUAAGGGCCAAAGGAUAUGACAUGAUGUUAUGUGAUAUACAUAAUAAUAAGAGUUUGUGGAAGUAGGGUAUUUAUUUUUACUUAUUUAUUUAUAUAUUUAUUUUUGCCUUUUGUCUUUUUUUUUUUUUUUUUUUUUUUUAGGGCCUCACCUGCCGGCAUAUGGAGGUUCCCAGGCUAGGGGUCUGAUCAGAGCUAUUGUUGCCGGCCUAUGCUACAGCCACAGCAAUGCCAGAUCUGAGCCAUGUCUUCAACCUACAACACAGCUCAUGGCAAUGCUGGAUCCUUAACCCACUGAGCGAGGCCAGGUAUUGAGCCGCCAACCUCACAGUUCCUAGUUGGAUUCGUUUCCACUGCACCGCAAUGGGAACUCCGAGAAGUAGGAUAUUGAUGAGAGACUUAGAACCAUAGAAAGGCUCUUGAUGGUAGCAUUUGUGUAGGGAACAGGACAGACAUUCCAAGGAACUGAAACGAUACAGAGAAGCCAUGAAGUUCAGCAGAUGCUCAGGGGUAGCAGCAAGACUUGGCCUCGCAGCAGAAGGGGCCUGUCAGGGGACUGUAGGAAUCAAGUUGGAUGGUCUGGGAAGGGACAGGUUAGAAGGAUGUUCACACUUGAUUAUGGAAAUGAAGACACCGAAAGUUAUUUUUAAACAGAGGAGUCCUAUAAUGGGAACAGAUUUUGGCCAACCAGGGAAGGUGCCCUAAACUCUCAAACAUGUGGUCACAGGAAGCUGGGAAAUAACACAGCCUUGGAGAAGAGGAAGCUAGGCUGAUUCAACUUGAUCCAUUAAGAAAACAGUACUUCAUAGAGGGCCAAGAUGAUUGCAACUGUCUCCUGGCCCUGAUCCCCUCAAUGGGUCUCUGAUCUAUAAGGAUCCGGAAAGUUGU
This 5350-nucleotide long non-coding RNA is filed under the name Sus scrofa (pig). RNAcentral's name for it is "lncRNA (ENSSSCG00000041519.1)". The record is from RNAcentral. Lineage: Eukaryota; Metazoa; Chordata; Mammalia; Artiodactyla; Suidae.